UCAACGAACAAAAGAAUGAAUCUUCGGGAUACUGGUGAACGUAACAGAAGAGAAGAAGAUCUUUACAUCUACGUGGACCAUGAAUUUAGUGAUGGUGGAGGAUAUCUUGAGCCCAUUGGAGCAAGACCUAUCGAAAAAUUAAGCGUCAGCACCAAUGUAAAUCAGUCAAAUACAUCGACAAAAUCUUGGAAACCUGUGUUGGUUAUUCUCCUUAUAAGCUUUCUCAUCUGUGGACUUGUCACAACGAGCGCAUUAUUUGCUCUGGAGAAAAGUAAAACAUACGUUAUUCACACUGGCGUAAAAGUUACUUUUCACAUGAAAAAUUUCAUUCAUGUUUCCAUUAUUA
Saccostrea echinata is the source of this 346-nucleotide long non-coding RNA. RefSeq lists it as uncharacterized. The transcript has 3 exons. NCBI's taxonomy places the organism in Eukaryota, Metazoa, Mollusca, Bivalvia, Ostreida, Ostreidae. The record is from RefSeq and is a predicted model, not a curated record.